This 289-nucleotide ribosomal RNA is filed under the name uncultured Prevotella sp. RNAcentral's name for it is "partial 16S ribosomal RNA". The record is from RNAcentral. Lineage: Bacteria; Pseudomonadati; Bacteroidota; Bacteroidia; Bacteroidales; Prevotellaceae.
CUACACGGGUAUCUAAUCCUGUUCGAUACCCACGCUUUCGAGCAUCAGCGUCAGUUGCGCUACAGUAAGCUGCCUUCGCAAUCGGAGUUCUUCGUGAUAUCUAAGCAUUUCACCGCUACACCACGAAUUCCGCCUACUUUCGGCGCACUCAAGCCCCCCAGUUCGCGCUGCAAGUCGGAUGUUGAGCACCCGCAUUUCACAACACGCUUAAGGGGCGGCCUACGCUCCCUUUAAACCCAAUAAAUCCGGAUAACGCCCGGACCUUCCGUAUUACCGCGGCUGCUGGCAC